Long non-coding RNA from Paramisgurnus dabryanus, 968 nucleotides. RefSeq lists it as uncharacterized. The record is from RefSeq and is a predicted model, not a curated record. Lineage: Eukaryota; Metazoa; Chordata; Actinopteri; Cypriniformes; Cobitidae.
CCUGAGUGUCAUUGCACUUUUCAGGAGUUAAGGCAGAUGUGGAGGCACAACGUGUGAUACCAGACACACACCAAGCACAUUAUGUUCGGACAUUCAAUCAUGACAGGAUCCAGGUGGAUGCUGUCCAUUGAUGAAAGAGUUUGUUCAGCGGUUUCUGGAUAGAAUUAAUUCCAAAGAUGGGAAAAAGUGCACAUCCAGACAAGGAGCAAGCAAAAAGACAAGGAACUUGGUGCAGAGAAAAGCUGUGGCCAUUAACCCCCAUGUGAACAGCUUCAUGCAGUCCCUGAUUGAGUUCGAAUGGACGACUUCAAAGUAAAGGCCACUGUGGUCUGUCUGCCACAGUUUAAUUUUUAAUUUAUUUUUAGUGUUAAAUGAAAUUCAAGUAGAAUAUUUAAAACUAUGGGCCAGUGUUCUUUUUACCACAGUGAAAUGUUACCUUUUAGUCGAUGAUGGACAUUAAACUGAAAACUUCAAACUAUGGAACAGUGUUCUAUUUGCCAGAGUUAAAUAUGUUACAGCAGGGGUCUCCAAACUUGUUUAUACUUAUUGAUUUUAUUUUAUGUUACUUGAUUAUAUGUUUAUUAUUGUUUAAAAUCUUGUUUUAAAUAUGUUUGUUUCAAUUAAAUGUUUUUUUUUAAAUAAAAUUUUGAUACAUACAUUGCUUGGAUUGCCUUUUAAUUCAUUAUGUUUUAAUUUAGCAUUUUUACCAUAUUAAUAACUAUAGAUUUAAACCUAAAUCUCUAGCUAUUUUAUAUAAUAUUAUUGUAUUAACUGUAAUAAGUAAUAAAUAGUAUUUAUGGGUCAAUAUAGACAUUACAGUAAAUUACUGUAAAAAUAGACUACUGUAAUAAAAUAUUGUAAAAUUACAGUACAGUACUGCUUUGUAACUAUACAGUACUAGUUUGUGUACUGUAAAAUGGUAUUACAGUACAGUACUGUAAAACCAAAAUACAGUAACUUACUGGCAA